This is a long non-coding RNA of Chroicocephalus ridibundus (black-headed gull), 318 nucleotides long. RefSeq lists it as uncharacterized. Lineage: Eukaryota; Metazoa; Chordata; Aves; Charadriiformes; Laridae. The record is from RefSeq and is a predicted model, not a curated record. The transcript has 3 exons.
AGCUGAGGGAGCGAAGGGUGGGGUUGGCUCCUCUCCGACGGGCUGCCGCCCCGACGGCUCCCUGUCUUCAGCGGCUGAUGGCUGAGGAGGACCCCGUCAGCUCAUCUGCUGUUUGACCCCGGUCUGCCACUGAAGAGGAACAUCACCCCUAUGGCCACUUGUCCAUCUGACUGCAAGGGGAAAGGAUUGGACACAUGCUCCAGGGUACCUCAGCAAAGUGACCUGAGGAUCAGGAUCCCUUCCUCCAGACCUGCCCCUGACCUCCAGCACAGGACUUUCUAGGUCGACAUCUGAGGAUUUGGUGAGAUUCUGGUAAGG